Molecule: long non-coding RNA, 1403 nt
Organism: Bombus terrestris (buff-tailed bumblebee)
Lineage: Eukaryota; Metazoa; Arthropoda; Insecta; Hymenoptera; Apidae
Exons: 3
Source: RefSeq, a predicted model, not a curated record
UAACAACGCAAUUCACCCCGCCGACUACAGCAAGGAUUAACCUCAUUGCCUGCAACUCUCCCACCGCCGACAACGAUCUCCACUUACACUGCCGUCGGAAAUGUCUACGUGCUGCAAAACAUCAAGUGCCCCGCGGACUAGUAUCCUGCGAUAUCUAAAGAGAGUCUAUUCGUCGAAAGAGAAGACAGUCGCACUGGAAAAAGCACGUCCCGAACGACGAACAGAGAGAGGAAACAAGACGAGAGGAGAAAUGAAUCUCUCUCUCGGCGCUGUCUGUUGAGACUGCGAGCGGUCUGAGGCACCCUCUUCCCGAUCCAGCUCUCUCUCAGCAGGGGUGGAUCGACGGCGAACGCGGAACUACCACGGGGAAGAGGGACCGCUGGAAAUAUCAUUUAUCACCGGCGGCACUGUCAAUCCAAGGCGCAUUGAUACGAUGAUGGUCCAGCGACGCCACCACGGUGCCGCUGAUCUUUCCCACUCUCAAAGAUCCAACUGUUCGAUAUUGGAAAUUAAAGCCGAGAGAAGAAACUUGGCGAAGAUGGUUUUCGAGGGGAUCGCGAAUUUUAGUGGUAAGGGUGAAGGAAGUGGCUAGGGGUGGCUCGUAUUAUUCAGGUCCUCGAGGACUGUGGAUUUGCUGGGUUAAUGUAGAGAUUGAUACUGGGUUACUCGUGUACUUUGGUUUGAAGGGUUUCAAGGGCUGGUGGAAUGAGAGUUUCAGGCAAAAUUCGUGAUUCCUCGUGAAGUACUAGUUGGACGGCUAAGAUAGCUUAGGAAAGAUUUUGAGCGUUGCAAUCCAAAUAUUUUGUAAUUAGAUAUCGUAGCCCUUUGAGCGCUGCGUUGUCCGACGUUAGGCGAGCGCUAUGCACGGUCCACUCUUUACAAAGAGGCACCGUGGGCUGCGUAUUUUUUGCGAAAGAACGCAAGUUGAGCGGACUGAAUUUUCAUUGCAAAAAUAUAUCGAUUGUGACUAAAAUAAAUCACGUAGUGACCUGAAAAGCCGUAAUAACCAUUUAUUUCAUUAAGCAAUAAUGACAUGGACAAUAACAAAGUUUGAAAUUAUAUCUUUUAAAUUGAAAAUUUAACAAUUUUGUAUUGUAUGGUAAAUCUGAAAGCAGGGUUCGAUAAUAAGCCAAUGAUACAUUUUUUGCAUUGGUAACGCGAGUCGGUUCUGCGAUUAUGUUUCGUGAAGAAUGUUUAUUAUUUUCUUUAGUCACGCAGCAUGCAGGGGAAUGCUUCUCCAUUAACCGAAAUGGAAGGUCGUCCGAAUGAACUCUUCCUCCUUUAGCCUCCACUCUGCGUGGUGGUAUUUUUGCAAAAUAUCUUUUACAAGAAGCGGAUGAAAAUUUUCAAAUGUUCCUGUUUUAUUAUUAGCACUUAUGUAGAGAAUAUAUGCAUUAUAUAUA